AUGAUCUGCACAGCUGAGCACUCGAGACCGGUCCAAAUGUAAAUGAACGUCUCUGCGCCGAUCUUUCCAUUGAGCCUUCAACCACGCUGACUGAUCCAGCUGGAGCAACAGGUGGAGGAGCCAUGCUACUUGUGUCUCUCAUAAUGGCAUUUAAACAUUUUAAAUGCCCGGCUCCACAGGGGGACCUGGCCCACACAAUCAUGAGCUUGGCUCACCUUGACAAUCACACCCCCACCCACCCCUCCAACUCUUCGGCCCUCCCAGAGGGUCCUAUGGCCCACCUUACAUUUUAGAGAUGGAGCCGGG
Long non-coding RNA from Myxocyprinus asiaticus (Chinese sucker), 306 nucleotides. RefSeq lists it as uncharacterized. The record is from RefSeq and is a predicted model, not a curated record. Lineage: Eukaryota; Metazoa; Chordata; Actinopteri; Cypriniformes; Catostomidae. The transcript has 3 exons.